Molecule: long non-coding RNA, 313 nt
Filed under: Gossypium barbadense (sea-island cotton)
Lineage: Eukaryota; Viridiplantae; Streptophyta; Magnoliopsida; Malvales; Malvaceae
Description: long non-coding RNA (GBAR_LNC005136)
Source: RNAcentral
GUAUUCUGGGUUUUGGUUAAAAGAUGGGGAAAGUUUUAAUGGGGCAUGCAGGAAGAAGUGGAGAUUGAGGCAAAGGUGAUUGCGGGAAGGGUAAGCUUUCACUGGUGGUGGUGGAGAUUAGAAGAAAACGGAACGGGGACUAUCACUGAGAACAUCGUGAAGAACGCAGUUUCCCAACACCAUUAGCUUCCCAUCAUCACUCACACAAAUCCCAGCCCCCACUGUCAGCAUCGAUCACCGAGAGAAAAUGUUCCCAUAAAAAAGGGCUGCUAUCGCUGGUUGACAUUCAUGGGAGAAAAUCGAUGAAAAGCCC